RNAcentral lists this long non-coding RNA (1500 nucleotides) under Solanum tuberosum (potato). Its description in RNAcentral is "long non-coding RNA (STUB_LNC008447)". The record is from RNAcentral. Lineage: Eukaryota; Viridiplantae; Streptophyta; Magnoliopsida; Solanales; Solanaceae.
UCUAGAAAGACCCCCACUCUAAAAAAUGACUACGAGUAACAUUUUCCUCUUCUUCCCUAGUAUAGUAUUGUCUCAAAGCCCUAAUCCAAGUUAUGGAAAUCUCCAAUUUCACUAAAUUCAAUCAAUACAUAUUUUCCUUCAACAGGUAUUUCUUAUGAUUUAAAUUUCUUAUCUAUGCGACCUUAAUUUGUGUUUGUAAUCCUUUUCUACUUUACUUGAAUUUGGGGAUUAGUGAAUUUUGAUUGAAAAAAUUGAAUUUAUAUUUGGGUUAGGGCUUUGAUUUGAAGGUGUACGAACUAAUUCAUGGCGUCGAAGCGCAUAUUGAAGGAGCUUAAGGAUCUGUUGAAGGAUCCUCGAAAGCUAAUUCGGAAAUGAAAGAAAUCACCCACAUUAUGCGGCACUGGUAUGUCGGCUCUACAUCCUAUUUUCCCUCCCACUUCCACAUCCUUUUGAUUUUCUGAAUUUGUCUUGAUUGUUAACUCGCCUUAAAUAAAAUAUGGUGUGGUCUUAUUUUUCACUAUAAAUACGACACCUCUUAUUAUACAAGGGAUAGACUUUGAAGUUCGAUAAUUUUUCAUACUCAUUGCUUAAGAAAUGCUACUGGCCAAGACUCCUUAUUGUGAAACUGCUUCUAUUUUACUGAUCAUUAGUGCUCUGCUGAAGUAAUUUAAAUUUAAACGUGAUAAUUCUUGCUGGGGUAGAAAGGAUUCAGGUAUGUUUCUAGACCUUAUGUGUGCCUAGUUUUUGGUUUAAUGGGUGCAAUAUGGGAGAACUGAUCUCUAUUAUGCUGAUAUGGAUACUAAUAUCGUUUAUGUUUUAUGGGGAAAUAGCCUCUCUACCUUUGAGGUAGGAGUAAGGUUUGCAUAAACUUAUUUUACCCGCUGCCGAGCUCUAUCCUGGCCGAAUUCCUUAAUAGCCGAAUGCAUAUUGAAUUACUUGUCGAGCUUCAAUACAUUCCUCUCUUAUAAUAUUCUGCUUUGCUAGAAGAUGGAUGUGCAACUGCAACAUAACAGUUAGAAGCUUGAUACUUCUUAGUGUGCACUUAUGUGAGGCAAAAUUUUAUCAAUUAAAGGUGCAGUGGUCGACGUCCGGCAAUGGUGUUACCAACUUAAUAAAUGGAUAGAUACGAAAAAGUUUAUAAUAUGGUGUAAGACUUUCCAGUUUCUGUUAAUUAUCUCAUGUUAAGUUUUCUUAUCAUAAAUUUAGAUAAAUUAUUGAGCCUUUAAGUAUGUAUUUUGUUUUUACAUAGCUAAGAUAAGGCAACAUCUUGUACCAAAAGUAAAAGCACCACAAGAUUUGGCAAUGUCAUUACUUACCCGUCCCCUAAGAAUAACAUAGUUUAUUUACCACAAUACUACGCCUUAGUACCAAAUGAUUAGUGUUGACAAUGAAAUAGUUUGUUCAAAAUGAUCAAACAGUUUAGCUUCAAGAUGAACUCCAAAGUCCAUGUACUCUACAUGUGGAGAAAACUGAUGUAUUAACAUUUCCUCUAAGAAUUUA